AAGCGCAUGCAGGCGGUUUGUUAAGUCAGAUGUGAAAGCCCGGGGCUCAACCUCGGAACCGCAUUUGAAACUGGCAGGCUAGAGUCUUGUAGAGGGGGGUAGAAUUUCAGGUGUAGCGGUGAAAUGCGUAGAGAUCUGAAGGAAUACCAGUGGCGAAGGCGGCCCCCUGGACAAAGACUGACGCUCAGAUGCGAAAGCGUGGGUAGCAAACAGGAUUAGAUACCCUGGUAGUCCACGCCGUAAACGCUGUCUACUUGGAGGUUGAGGUUUAAGACUUUGGCUUUCGGCGCUAACGCAUUAAGUAGACCGCCUGGGGAGUACGGCCGCAAGGUUAAAACUCAAAUGAAUUGACGGGGGCCCGCACAAGCGGUGGAGUAUGUGGUUUAAUUCGAUGCAACGCGAAGAACCUUACCUACUCUUGACAUCCAGAGAACUUUCCAGAGAUGGAUUGGUGCCUUCGGGAACUCUGAGACAGGUGCUGCAUGGCUGUCGUCAGCUCGUGUUGUGAAAUGUUGGGUUAAGUCCCGCAACGAGCGCAACCCUUAUCCUUGUUUGCCAGCGAGUAAUGUCGGGAACUCCAGGGAGACUGCCGGUGAUAAACCGGAGGAAGGUGGGGACGACGUCAAGUCAUCAUGGCCCUUACGAGUAGGGCUACACACGUGCUACAAUGGCAGAUACAGAGGGCAGCGAAGCUGCGAAGUGGAGCGAAUCCCUUAAAGUUUGUCGUAGUCCGGAUUGGAGUCUGCAACUCGACUCCAUGAAGUCGGAA
RNAcentral lists this ribosomal RNA (769 nucleotides) under uncultured Salinivibrio sp. RNAcentral's name for it is "bacterial SSU rRNA". It matches the Rfam family "Bacterial small subunit ribosomal RNA", at positions 563 to 1331 of the family's 1533-position model. Lineage: Bacteria; Pseudomonadati; Pseudomonadota; Gammaproteobacteria; Vibrionales; Vibrionaceae. The record is from RNAcentral.